GAUGAAGAACGUAGUGAAAUGCGAUACGUAGUGUGAAUUGCAGAAUUCAGUGAAUCAUCGAAUCUUUGAACGCACAUUGCACCUCUCGGUAUUCCGGGAGGUAUGCCUGUUCGAGCGUCAUUUGUAUCCUCAAGCUCUGCUUGGUGUUGGGUGUUUGUUCCGCCUCUGUGUGUGAACUCGCCUCAAAACAAUUGGCAGCCGGCGUACUUGUUUCGGAGCGCAGCACAUUUUGCGAUCCAGAUCAACGUACAGCGGCAUCCAAGAAGCCUUAUUUAACGCUCUUGACCUCGGAUCAGGUAGGGAUACCCGCUGAACUUAAGCAUAUCAAUAAGCGGAGGA
This 339-nucleotide unclassified non-coding RNA is filed under the name soil metagenome. RNAcentral describes it as "partial contains 5.8S ribosomal RNA, internal transcribed spacer 2, and large subunit ribosomal RNA". The stretch from base 1 to 120 matches the Rfam family "5.8S ribosomal RNA", at positions 35 to 154 of the family's 154-position model. The record is from RNAcentral.